Molecule: ribosomal RNA, 469 nt
Filed under: uncultured bacterium
Lineage: Bacteria
Also listed under: 1 other name
Description: bacterial SSU rRNA
Rfam family: Bacterial small subunit ribosomal RNA
Source: RNAcentral
GACGAACGCUGGCGGCGUGCCUAACACAUGCAAGUCGAACGAGGUCCAUGCAGUGGCAACACUGCGGAAGACCUAGUGGCGAACGGGUGAGUAACACGUGAGGAACCUGCCCCGAAGACCGGGAUAACCCUCCGAAAGGAGAGCUAAUACCGGAUACCCCCACCUGGUCGCAUGGCCGGGUGAGGAAAUGGAUUCCGCUUCGGGAGGGCCUCGCGGCCUAUCAGCUAGUUGGUGAGGUAACGGCUCACCAAGGCAUCGACGGGUAGCUGGUCUGAGAGGACGAUCAGCCACACUGGGACUGAGACACGGCCCAGACUCCUACGGGAGGCAGCAGUGGGGAAUCUUGCGCAAUGGGCGAAAGCCUGACGCAGCAACGCCGCGUGGGGGAUGAAGGCUCUCGGGUUGUAAACCCCUUUCAGCAGGGACGAAAUUGACGGUACCUGCAGAAGAAGCCCCGGCUAACUACGUG